UCAGUGUUUGUUCAUUUCCCGUGGCGCUCCAUUUUGGUUCGUGGGUCCGGGUAUAAGGAUUUUGUUCGAGCUGUGGGAGAGAGAGAGAGCCUCGCAAGUGUGGGAACGCCCCACUUAAGGAUUAUUGCCUUCUGCCACAUGGACUUGAACUCAUUUACCGCUAUCCUUUCCUGCUGGAUUGGACUGGAAGUCGAAGGGCUACCAAGUACUAACCCCAGAGGGAAUCUACCCGACCCAUUAGAGGCAAGAUCCACCCGCAGGAGGGCCGUUCAACUGGACUACCUUUCCCUGUCAGCGAGGGACUCCCUGCCGUCCUCCCCUAAGGCUUUACAUUAGCCGCAGGGUAGAAGGUCACAGGCAUCAAUCGCCGCCUGCCUCUGACACUAUUGGACAAAUAUGAUCCAUAAUGAAAAGAAGGAAUUGAAGAAGCUGCUGGGGCUCUGAAUAUCAUAGAAAGAAGUGGCAGAUUAACAAGAUCGUCUGCUCCUACCACACCUCUCUCUGCAGGGGCAGGAUUGUCACAGUUUCCAUAUGAGGGUCAUACGUCUCCUGCAUGAUGAAAAGGGCUGUUUUGCAGCUGGUACAAAUGAAAAGAACAUAAGAACAGCCAUACUGGGUCAGACCAAAAGUACAUCUAGCCCAGUAACUGUCUCCCAACAGUGACCAAUGCCAGAGGAGAAGUGAACAGAACAGGAAGCAGAAGCAGGAUUUGCCCCCAUGUGAUCCAGAAAACCAUUUCCAACUCCUUCCUCUGUGAUCUUUUGAAGAGAGAACAAAACAAGACCAUAUGUCACACUGCCAUUAAGGACAGACUUGUUUCACUGUAGCAAAUUCAAAGGAAGAGAACAUUUAUACACUAAAAUGUUUAUUUAGCCAAUGAUUUUUAAUUCCUUAUGUUUAUAAUAUCACGUGUGUCUCAUAAAUGUUUUCUUGGCCUUACUGUAGUUUCAUAAAACAAUUGCAGUGUUGCAUACACAUGAUGGCUUCCGUUCAAGAUGAAGUAAGAAAAGUUGAGCUGCUGAGAGGAGCUAGUGAACUUGGUAUUGUAAACAGAAAUAUUUGUAAAGGUUUACAGUUAAUAGCUCUGUUAAUAGCUCUGUUUCUGAUGUGUUCAAGUGUCCCCCAGUGAGAAACUUCUUGUUUAAGGAUCAUUGUAUUGCCUAUUGCCUUUGUCUCAUGCACAAACUCCAACUAAUAUCAUUCAAAGAUGCACAUCCAGACUGUAUAUGGCUCUCAACAGCAAAUGAAGUAGGCAAAAGAAGGAAGAUCUGAAAUAUAACUAAAGUUUGCUUUAAGAUGGACUUUACGUCACACUGUGCCUACUGUGAGUCAAAUUUUCAUAGACUGGUGCUCAAGUCACAUGUAAAACCUGUACGUGUACAUUAUGCAAGUGAAGGGCUUGAUUAGCCUCUUAUGCCUGAUUUACACUGAGGUAAGUCCAAAAAAAUCCACAUUUACAUUUAUGUAAAAAUGGUGUUAAGUGGGACCUAGUUUUAUAUUUAUAUAUACCAUCCAAUACUUUGUGUGCAGAAUGGAUAUGCUGAAGCACAAUAGCCUAUUUUACCCCUGCAAAAAUGUGUUUCAAAUGCAGCUUUUGCUUAUGCAGCUGGUGCACAUGCAAAUUUUGUAGGUGCCACCUUUAGGAAGCUUUGAAAGCUUGCCUCUAUUUGUACAGAAAAAAUUGCUAAAUGUUGAAGUUGGCGGAUGUGAUGGAACACUAAAGUAAACUGGCCUGUGCUAACAUCUCCUUUAAAUUGUGAACAGUAUGAUUAUCUUCAGUUAUAUUAAAUAUUACCCAAAAUAGGUCAGGGAGCCUACAGCACAUUUUGCAGUUAAGACACUGAUUGGAAUGACUUGCCUUCAGAUAUUCAGAAAGAAAUUGCUUUUUUUUCUAUUCUGAAGCAGUGUCAGUUAAAAUGGCAGCACCUUUUCAUAAGGUGGUAAUAAUUACACUACUAGUUUGUUUGUUUUUGUAUGUUUAAUGCAAGAGUAGGAAACCUGCAAAUCUGACACCCGCCUUAUUUUGAUCCAGCCCACAGCAAGGCUCGGAGAUUCACCCCACAGCAAGACUCUAAGCCCUCAGUGCCCUCAAGGCUGGCGUGUAAGUACCAGCACACUCUGCUGCUGAGCGCCUGAUCCAGCUCCUAUGAAUGAGGUCACUGCCAGUAGUUUUCAUUGAGACUGAUUGGCAUUUCAUCACAUAGUGCCUUACAGAUGUGAAAGACUGCACAAAUAUUGGCAUCUCCACAAUGGACCUCUGACGCAGAUAAGUAAUUCUUACCUUUGUUUCUCAGAUAAGGAAACUGAGGCAGGAGGGUGCUGUGACUUGCUCCAGACAGCACAUACAUGACAGAUAUGAAUUAACAGGGAUGGGCAACAACUCAAUUUUUAAAAUUUGAUAAAAGUCUGAGUUGGAAGGGGGGGACUAUAAAUGGUUAGCUUAUUCAACUGAGGUCAGAUCUGAGGAGGUAGGGUCCAACCACAUUACCUUCCAGUGGACCAUUCUAGUACUUUUUUUUUUUUCCAAAGUAGCGACAACAUGUUCUGAGCCCUUCUCAAGAUCUACAAAACUACUACAUAUUCAUGGAAGGAUCGUUCUGUUUAUUUGAUGUGGUGCAAUUUUUGUUAGUAUUCUUGGACUUCUUACUGUUACUAUGUAGCCCAAGGAUAUUCGCUAAUACAGGCAGUCCCCGAGUUAUGCGGAUCCGACGUAAGUCGGAUCCGCAGUUACGAACGGGGUUUGCUGC
Non-coding RNA from Pelodiscus sinensis (Chinese soft-shelled turtle), 2747 nucleotides. NCBI's taxonomy places the organism in Eukaryota, Metazoa, Chordata, Testudines, Trionychidae. The record is from RefSeq and is a predicted model, not a curated record.